This is a non-coding RNA of Lactuca sativa (garden lettuce), 392 nucleotides long. NCBI's taxonomy places the organism in Eukaryota, Viridiplantae, Streptophyta, Magnoliopsida, Asterales, Asteraceae. The record is from RefSeq and is a predicted model, not a curated record.
AUAAAAUAUUACAAAAAAUAGUCAUGGGGUUUGUUUAGCUCAAAAAGGCAUCAAGAUGCGGUUUUUCACGUGAAGCUUCACAAAAAUGAACCAACUCCAAUCAAAUCAAACUCACGCCUCAAGGGUGGUGUGUAGGAUCGACAUUUUCAUCUUGCGAGCUGUGGUGUUCAUUACUCUGACUGUGAGGCACUUCUGUGGCAAGGGUAAAGAGCCAGUUUGAUUGCAUUGCAUCCACUGAUGGUUUAUGUGCUAUGUGAUUUUAGGAUUACUUCAUGUUUUUAUGAACAUUUCAAACUCAUGUUUUAAAAUAAAUGACCUUAUGAAUUUUGUGGAAUGGUUUUUAUGAUUUUAAAAAUAAAAAAUUUUCCUAGUAUAUUUGGGGUGUUUCAAAG